GACGAACGCUGGCGGCGUGCUUAACACAUGCAAGUCGAACGGAAAGGCCCUGCUUUUGUGGGGUGCUCGAGUGGCGAACGGGUGAGUAACACGUGAGUAACCUGCCCUUGACUUUGGGAUAACUUCAGGAAACUGGGGCUAAUACCGGAUAGGAGCUCCUGCUGCAUGGUGGGGGUUGGAAAGUUUCGGCGGUUGGGGAUGGACUCGCGGCUUAUCAGCUUGUUGGUGGGGUAGUGGCUUACCAAGGCUUUGACGGGUAGCCGGCCUGAGAGGGUGACCGGCCACAUUGGGACUAAGAUACGGCCCAGACGCCUACGGGAGGCAGCAGUGGGGAAUAUUGCACAAUGGGCGGAAGCCUGAUGCAGCAACGCCGCGUGCGGGAUGACGGCCUUCGGGUUGUAAACCGCUUUCGACUGUGACGAAGCGUGAGUGACGGUAAUGGGUAAAGAAGCACCGGCUAACUACGUG
Molecule: ribosomal RNA, 468 nt
Filed under: uncultured bacterium
Lineage: Bacteria
Description: partial 16S ribosomal RNA
Rfam family: Bacterial small subunit ribosomal RNA
Source: RNAcentral